Non-coding RNA from Pelobates cultripes (western spadefoot toad), 137 nucleotides. NCBI's taxonomy places the organism in Eukaryota, Metazoa, Chordata, Amphibia, Anura, Pelobatidae. The record is from the annotation of a GenBank genome assembly.
UAUUUAUUGAAUACAGCCCCAUGUGUAUGCAGUGUGUGUGUGUGUGUGUGUGUGUGUAUAUAUUUAUAUAUAUAUAUAUAUAUAUAUACAUAUAUAUAUAUAUACACAUACACACAUGGGGCUGUAUUCAAUAUAGU